Molecule: long non-coding RNA, 372 nt
Organism: Gavialis gangeticus (Gharial)
Lineage: Eukaryota; Metazoa; Chordata; Crocodylia; Gavialidae
Exons: 3
Source: RefSeq, a predicted model, not a curated record
AGCUUUAGGGAUCAGGAUCUGUUUUGUUGCAGAGUACAUGUGUGGACUAGAGUGGCACCAGAACUACUAGCAGCAAUGACUGAAGAAGGUAUGCAAAGGAAGCAUGGAUGAAGAUCUGUAGCAGAUACCCACAUAACUUGUAACUCACUUUGCACCUCUCACUUCUCCUGUCUGCUCUCCUGAUGGACUGAAGAGGCAUUGCCUGACCAUAUCUCUUGAGCCACUACAACUCUUCAACAUUAGUGAGAAUAGGAAGACUUUGGAGGUUAACUUUAAGGAAGCUAGGCCUUUACACUGCUCACAGAAACUUCUUGCUGCUGACAUUGAGGCCAAUGACAAAAGACCUGUUCUUUUCAAGAGAAGCAGAGCAGA